This 77-nucleotide transfer RNA is filed under the name gut metagenome. RNAcentral describes it as "tRNA-Met". It matches the Rfam family "tRNA". From Rfam's summary of the family: Transfer RNA (tRNA) molecules are approximately 80 nucleotides in length. Their secondary structure includes four short double-helical elements and three loops (D, anti-codon, and T loops). The record is from RNAcentral.
GGCGGUGUAGCUCAGUUGGCUAGAGCACUCGGUUCAUACCCGAACGGUCGUGGGUUCAAGUCCCACUGCCGCCACCA